GACGAACGCUGGCGGCGUGCUUAACACAUGCAAGUCGAACGGUGAAGGGACUGGUUUUGCUGGUCCUGGAUGAGUGGCGAACGGGUGAGUAACACGUGAGUAACCUGCCCCCUUCUUCUGGAUAACCGCAUGAAAGUGUGGCUAAUACGGGAUAUUCUGGGUCUGUCGCAUGGUGGGCCUGGGAAAGAUUGCGCCUUUUUUGGUGUUUUUGGUGGGGGAUGGGCUCGCGGCCUAUCAGCUUGUUGGGGGGGUGAUGGCCUACCAAGGCGGUGACGGGUAGCCGGCCUGAGAGGGUGGACGGUCACACUGGGACUGAGACACGGCCCAGACUCCUACGGGAGGCAGCAGUGGGGAAUAUUGCACAAUGGGCGCAAGCCUGAUGCAGCGACGCCGCGUGAGGGAUGGAGGCCUUCGGGUUGUGAACCUCUUUCGCCAGUGAAGCAGGCCUGCCUCUUUUUGUGGGUGGGUUGACGGUAGCUGGAUAAGAAGCGCCGGCUAACUACGUG
This 506-nucleotide ribosomal RNA is filed under the name uncultured bacterium. RNAcentral's name for it is "partial 16S ribosomal RNA". It matches the Rfam family "Bacterial small subunit ribosomal RNA", at positions 28 to 507 of the family's 1533-position model. The record is from RNAcentral.